RNAcentral lists this ribosomal RNA (303 nucleotides) under uncultured bacterium. Its description in RNAcentral is "partial 16S ribosomal RNA". It matches the Rfam family "Bacterial small subunit ribosomal RNA", at positions 507 to 807 of the family's 1533-position model. The record is from RNAcentral.
AGCAGUAGCCGCGGUAAAACGUAGGUGGCAAGCGUUGUCCGGAAUUAUUGGGCGUAAAGGGCUCGCAGGCGGUUUCUUAAGUCUGAUGUGAAAGCCCCCGGCUCAACCGGGGAGGGUCAUUGGAAACUGGGAAACUUGAGUGCAGAAGAGGAGAGUGGAAUUCCACGUGUAGCGGUGAAAUGCGUAGAGAUGUGGAGGAACACCAGUGGCGAAGGCGACUCUCUGGUCUGUAACUGACGCUGAGGAGCGAAAGCGUGGGGAGCGAACAGGAUUAGAUACCCCUGUAGUCCCUGUCUCUUAUAC